GUUGCUUCGGCGGGGAGCCCUCUCGGGGGCGAGCCGCCGGGGACUAUUGAACUUCAUGCCUGAGAGUGAUGCAGUCUGAGUCUGAAUAUAAAAUCAGU
This 98-nucleotide ribosomal RNA is filed under the name uncultured Aspergillus. Its description in RNAcentral is "5.8S ribosomal RNA". The record is from RNAcentral. Lineage: Eukaryota; Fungi; Ascomycota; Eurotiomycetes; Eurotiales; Aspergillaceae.